AACGAACGCUGGCGGCAUGCCUAACACAUGCAAGUCGAACGAGACCUUCGGGUCUAGUGGCGCACGGGUGCGUAACGCGUGGGAACCUGCCCUUAGGUUCGGAAUAACUCCCCGAAAGGGGUGCUAAUACCGGAUAAUGUCUUCGGACCAAAGAUUUAUCGCCUUUGGAUGGGCCCGCGUUGGAUUAGCUAGUUGGUAGGGUAAAAGCCUACCAAGGCGACGAUCCAUAGCUGGUCUGAGAGGAUGAUCAGCCACACUGGGACUGAGACACGGCCCAGACUCCUACGGGAGGCAGCAGUGGGGAAUAUUGGACAAUGGGCGAAAGCCUGAUCCAGCAAUGCCGCGUGAGUGAUGAAGGCCUUAGGGUUGUAAAGCUCUUUUACCCGGGAUGAUAAUGAGAGUACCGGGAGAAUAGGCUCCGGCUAACUCCGUG
RNAcentral lists this ribosomal RNA (433 nucleotides) under uncultured bacterium. Its description in RNAcentral is "partial 16S ribosomal RNA". It matches the Rfam family "Bacterial small subunit ribosomal RNA", at positions 29 to 507 of the family's 1533-position model. The record is from RNAcentral.